This is a long non-coding RNA of Lycium ferocissimum, 271 nucleotides long. RefSeq lists it as uncharacterized. The record is from RefSeq and is a predicted model, not a curated record. Lineage: Eukaryota; Viridiplantae; Streptophyta; Magnoliopsida; Solanales; Solanaceae. The transcript has 2 exons.
CCACUAAUCUUGAGAUUAUUUUAUCUCAUCUCCCAAACAAGAUAAAUUAGUCCUAAAAUUAUAAUCCCAAAAUAAUUUAAUCCGCGUACCAAACGACCCGUAAGAGUUACACAGUUUCAAUUUUUUUCCAAUAAAAGGUAAAGCAAAAGCUUUCGAAUAAAAAAAUAAUGUCAUUUUCUUGUAAUUGAUGAAAGAAAUAUCACAUAAACUUGACAAACGGAAAUAGCAGAACUGAAAUACUCAGCUGAAUUGCAAUUGACAAGACUUAGGA